RNAcentral lists this ribosomal RNA (326 nucleotides) under uncultured eukaryote. RNAcentral's name for it is "partial 18S ribosomal RNA". It matches the Rfam family "Eukaryotic small subunit ribosomal RNA", at positions 1470 to 1796 of the family's 1831-position model. The record is from RNAcentral.
CCCUUAGAUGUUCUGGGCCGCACGCGCGCUACACUGAUGCAUUCAACGAGUCCAACCUUGACCGAGAGGCCCGGGUAAUCUUUGAAACUGCAUCGUGAUGGGGCUAGAUUAUUGCAAUUAUUAAUCUUCAACGAGGAAUGCCUAGUAAGCGUGAUUCAUCAAAUCGCGUUGAUUACGUCCCUGCCCUUUGUACACACCGCCCGUCGCUCCUACCGAUUGAGUGUGUUGGUGAGGAGUUUGGAUUGGCCUCGGAAGGUGGUUCGCCACCGUCCGUAGCUGAGAAGUUCUCCAAACCGCCCCACUUAGAGGAAGGAGAAGUCGUAACA